Molecule: long non-coding RNA, 1986 nt
Filed under: Homo sapiens (human)
Lineage: Eukaryota; Metazoa; Chordata; Mammalia; Primates; Hominidae
Description: HSALNT0157258
Source: RNAcentral
GGAGCAGACCCACCGUGGAUUUCAGGCGGGGGUCACUGGGCCCCCUGCUCCUUGCCAUUCAUGGAACGGUGACUCAGCAGGUGGGGCGAGGUGAGGACACCCCUCAAAUUAGUGUAGGCACUCAAGGUGGGACCAUCCUGCUGAGGGUGACGCAGUCUCUGAAAAGAUCCUAACAAGGUGGAAAGACUGACUCUGCCAAGAUUUUUUUUUUUUUUUUUUUUUGAGACGGAGUUUCACUCUUGUUGCCCAGGCUCGAGUGCGAUGGUGCAAUCUUGGCUCACUGCAACCUCCGCCUCCCAGGUUCAAGCGAUGCUUCUGCCUCAGCCUUCCAAGUACCUGCGGUUACAGGCACAUGCCACCAUGCCCGGCUAAUGUUUGUAUUUUAGUAGAGACAGGGUUUUGCCGUGUUGGUCAGGCUGAUCUCAAAUUCCCGACCUCAGGUGAUCUGCCCACCUCGGCCUCCCAAAGUGCUGGGAUUACAGGCGUGAACCACUGCGCUCAGCCUGGCGAGAUUUCAUUUUAUUGAUAAAUGUAAGUUUUUGCACUGAACUAACCCCAGACUUCACUAACGUGGGUAGGAAGACAUGGCUCCUAGGUGUAGACGCAACCCCCAGGGCUCUUGGACGGAGAUCACGUGGAAUCCAGAGUCCAGUGACUUUGGCAGUAACUGAAAUGGGAUAUUUAAUAUUCACGCAUUUAUUUCACAAAUGAUCCCAGUGUGCCUGUGUGUGCCUGGGCCCCGGCAGCGGCCAGCCUUGCCCUGGAACACAAAUGACUCACAGAGAGGGACGGGUCACGCGGAGAAUAAGCCAGGAGCUGAUGCGGGAGGAGACGGGUCAGAGGUGCUUUCCCUGGCAGGAAGAGCCAGGCCCCCCAGAACUCCUAGAGCGCCCUGAGAUCUUCGGGUUCUGAUGGUGGCAGUUCACAAAAGAACCAACAGAAACGGAGACAUCACCUUCACACGGGAGAAGUGCGCUGAGCACUUCCUCUGAGCCAAGGAUGAAGGUCCAAGCACUCACACCCUCGCCAUCCCCCGACGGGCAGGGUUUGCUGCCACAGCCUCAGUGACCCACUCAGGAACUGAUGGAAGCGGUCAGCUGUGCCGGCCACACCUACACCCCAGAACCCCCCAGUACCGCCUGCGAGAGGAGACGUUUUCUACAGUGGCCUGGGUCCCAUUCUUUCUGAAGUCUCUCCCUCUCCAGCUCUGGACUGCAUCGUCGCCCACAGAGGGGAUGCUUCUUAUCCGGUGGGAGGCGAGGAGGUCCAAGGGUCCUUCGUCAGGAGCCUGUGGCCAGCUUUCCACGCAUCUGUGAUGCCCGGCCUCAGCCCCUGUGUCCAGCGUGAGGGCUGGUGGCUGUGGAGACGGAUCGCACGCUGGGUUUAGAGGCGCCAGCCGCUGGCAGCGCCGGUGCCACAAGCCCUCCUGAGAUAUUGUUGGAAGAGAGCCUUGGUGUGCCUGCCUGGCACAGAGAAGCCUCCUGAGAAAUGUCAGAUGAGUCAUGAGUCUCAGAGGGGGCGGGCAGCCAGGGAGGAAGCAAGGAGCGAAACCAGGAGGGAGCCCGCAGGAAGCUGGGGGCCGGGCAGGCACCGGGGUCAGUGCAGCGAGGGUCAGGGGUUGCUGGGUGCGGGCAGUGGGUGCAGAUGCCGCCGGCACAGACGCCCUGUGAGUGCCUGGGCCCAACCCAGGCCUCCACAUCCAGGUCUAAAGGGGUGGCCCUGGCCUCGGUUCCCCUCUGGCCUCAGGUAAUCAUUCUCCGUCAGAUCAGAGGCCCUUCUGGUCACCUGGUGGACGGCCUGGGUCUCUAAUGCCACAAGGUGGAUCUGUUCUUAGCCCUCGACACCUGUGCGUUCGGCUGAGCCCUGACCCUGGCAGCCCGGCGGGAGGCCCUGCAUGGCCAGACGAGGUCCCUGAAGUCCACCAGGCAAGGCCAGCCCAAGACGGGAGGCAGGAGCAGAAGGUGCUUCCGUCAAGCUCUCACCACA